UACGUAGGUGGCGAGCGUUGUCCGGAAUCACUGGGCGUAAAGGGCGUGUAGGCGGUUAUUUAAGUCAGGUGUGAAAACUAACGGCUUAACCGGGAGAUUGCACCUGAUACUGGGUGACUUGAGUGCAGGAGAGGGCAGUGGAAUUCCUAGUGUAGCGGUGAAAUGCGUAGAUAUUAGGAGGAACACCAGUGGCGAAGGCGGCUGCCUGGACUGUAACUGACGCUGAGGCGCGAAAGCGUGGGGAG
This 245-nucleotide ribosomal RNA is filed under the name uncultured Eubacteriales bacterium. RNAcentral's name for it is "uncultured Clostridiales bacterium partial 16S ribosomal RNA". It matches the Rfam family "Bacterial small subunit ribosomal RNA", at positions 524 to 768 of the family's 1533-position model. The record is from RNAcentral. Lineage: Bacteria; Bacillati; Bacillota; Clostridia; Eubacteriales.